GAUGAAGAACGUAGCGAAAUGCGAUAAGUAGUGUGAAUUGCAGAAUUCAGUGAAUCAUCGAAUCUUUGAACGCACAUUGCGCCCCUUGGUAUCCCGAGGGGCAUGCCUGUUCGAGCGUCAUUUCACCACUCAAGCCUGGCUUGGUGUUGGGCGACGUCCCCUUUAGGGACGCGCCUCGAAACGCUCGGCGGCGCGGCACCGGCUUUAAGCGUAGCAGAAUCUUUCGCUUUGGAAGUCGGGGCCCCGCCUGCCGGAAGACCUGCUCGCAAGGUUGACCUCGGAUCAGGCAGGGAUACCCGCUGAACUUAAGCAUAUCAAUAAGCGGAGGA
Molecule: unclassified non-coding RNA, 329 nt
Filed under: soil metagenome
Description: partial contains 5.8S ribosomal RNA, internal transcribed spacer 2, and large subunit ribosomal RNA
Rfam family: 5.8S ribosomal RNA (bases 1-120)
Source: RNAcentral